ACGCACGCUGGCGGCAUGCCUAACACCUGUAAGUCGCACGAGACCUUCGGGUCUAGUGGCGCACGGGUGCGUAACGCGUGGGAACCUGCCCUUAGGUUCGGAAUAACUCCCCGAAAGGGGUGCUAAUACCGGAUAAUGUCUUCGGACCAAAGAUUUAUCGCCUUUGGAUGGGCCCGCGUUGGAUUAGCUAGUUGGUAGGGUAAAAGCCUACCAAGGCGACGAUCCAUAGCUGGUCUGAGAGGAUGAUCAGCCACACUGGGACUGAGACACGGCCCAGACUCCUACGGGAGGCAGCAGUGGGGAAUAUUGGACAAUGGGCGAAAGCCUGAUCCAGCAAUGCCGCGUGAGUGAUGAAGGCCUUAGGGUUGUAAAGCUCUUUUACCCGGGAUGAUAAUGACAGUACCGGGAGAAUAAGCGCCGGCUAACUCCGUG
Molecule: ribosomal RNA, 432 nt
Filed under: uncultured bacterium
Lineage: Bacteria
Description: partial 16S ribosomal RNA
Rfam family: Bacterial small subunit ribosomal RNA
Source: RNAcentral